CAGGUGGAAAUGAACAACUGCCCCCAAAGCCUGUGCCGGAGGCUGGAGUAGCCAUUGCUGCUUGUGUGGAGAUGGAGCAGCAGUAUGACCCACUUGACUCAGACAUGCCAGCCAUGGACACAGCUGGCCUGUUCAAAGAAAGUCAUGAAGAUAUGAAGAAGCCAGAUGAAGAGGAAGAGAAACAGAAGAUAGAAGAUUCUCUGUGGGCAGGUGUGGAGGCAUGUCAAAAGGUAGACACUGGAGCUAUUGAUAUCAAGACACUAGAAGGUACAGAGGAAUUUGAAGAGAAAGCAUGUGAAAGGACAGGAAACAGAGUGGUAGAUCUUCUUAAUACCAUAGGAAAGGAAGACCAUAAGACCUUAAAAAUUAAUGAAGUGGAAACUAGAAAAGAUCUAAGAGCAGGGUAUAAGGAAAGUACAAACACCAAUGAAAAUUCUUUUGAGAAAACUGACCUAUUAGAAAAGAACAUGGAAGGAGGAGAUAUGGCAAAAGAACUUAGUGACAGAGACCAAGGUCUACAUGAUGGAAUUCAAAAGGCUUCUGGUGGUUCAUUUAAUGGAUUCACACAGCCCCAGGAUACUUCAUUAUUCACAAUGCAGACAGACCAGAGUAUGAUCUGCAACUUGAUCAUACCUGGAGCUGAUACUGAUGCAGCUGUUGGAACCUUGGUGUCAGCAGCUGAGGGGGCCCCAGGAGAGGAAGCAGAGGCAGAGAAGCCCACUGUCCCUGCCGGGGAAGGAGUAAGUUUAGAGGAGGCCAAAAUUGGAACUGAAACCACUGAGGGUGCAGAGAGUGCCCAACCUGAAGCAGAGGAGCUGGAAGCAACAGUGCCUCAGGAGAAGGUCAUCCCUUCGGUGGUCAUAGAG
This 866-nucleotide small RNA is filed under the name Pongo abelii (Sumatran orangutan). RNAcentral's name for it is "processed transcript". Lineage: Eukaryota; Metazoa; Chordata; Mammalia; Primates; Hominidae. The record is from RNAcentral.